GGCGCGAUAGCCAAGCGGCUAAGGCGGAGGUCUGCAAAACCUCUAUUCGUCGGUUCAAUCCCGACUCGCGCCU
RNAcentral lists this transfer RNA (73 nucleotides) under Candidatus Velamenicoccus archaeovorus. Its description in RNAcentral is "Velamenicoccus archaeovorus tRNA". It matches the Rfam family "tRNA". Rfam says of the family: Transfer RNA (tRNA) molecules are approximately 80 nucleotides in length. Their secondary structure includes four short double-helical elements and three loops (D, anti-codon, and T loops). The record is from Rfam by way of RNAcentral. Lineage: Bacteria; Pseudomonadati; Candidatus Omnitrophota.